UACAGAGGUCCCAAGCGUUGUUCGGAUUCAUUGGGCGUAAAGGGUGUGUAGGUGGCGCCGUAAGUCGGGUGUGAAAUCUCGGGGCUUAACUCCGAAACUGCAUUCGAUACUGCGGUGCUUGAGGACUGGAGAGGAGACUGGAAUUCAUGGUGUAGCAGUGAAAUGCGUAGAGAUCAUGAGGAAGACCAGUGGCGAAGGCGGGUCUCGGGACAGUUCCUGACACUGAGACACGAAGGCCAGGGGAGCAAACGGG
RNAcentral lists this ribosomal RNA (253 nucleotides) under uncultured bacterium. RNAcentral describes it as "partial 16S ribosomal RNA". It matches the Rfam family "Bacterial small subunit ribosomal RNA", at positions 524 to 776 of the family's 1533-position model. The record is from RNAcentral.